RNAcentral lists this non-coding RNA (24 nucleotides) under Arabidopsis thaliana (thale cress). The record is from RNAcentral. Lineage: Eukaryota; Viridiplantae; Streptophyta; Magnoliopsida; Brassicales; Brassicaceae.
AUUGAAAAUACAAAUGGUGAAAAC